UUGACAACUACUUUUGUGGAAAAUUACUCUGAAAGAAGCAACUGCUAAAAAGGAUGGACCAUUAUGAUGACAUUCAGAACUGUAGGAAAAUUCUGUUAGUUAAAAAUGAACCAGGGAGGCAGUCUGUCCAGCUUUACCCUUCUCUAUGGUAUCUAAACACGUAUCACUGGGAAAAGGAGGGAGAAAAAUCAAACAAAUUCAUGUGUUGAGGCACAGCAGUAUUGUACUUUUGGCUCCAAGUAACUGAUGCAAGUAACAAUGAGAAGGAAGAACUAAGGCACCUGAUUAUGUGAUUGCAGAUGACUAAGUAGUGAUUCUACCAACUUGCCAGGGAUUAAAAUGAGACCUACUGGUCUGUAGUUCCCAGGAUCACUUCUGCAUCCCUUUCUAAAGGUGGCCACAAUCUAGAAGCACUCUUAUCUAGAACACAGCAUCCCUACCAAUCUGACUGCUUGGACUGCUCCUCUCCCAUUUAUAAGCACUUACUAUACCUGUUGCAGCUCAGUCAAUCACUUACAUGGAAAAGCAACAGAAAAACUGAUGUGACUACCCCAGGAUGGGCUUUUCAUAAGAGAUAUAAGUAAGUAGGUGUCUGACUUCCACUACAUUUCAGUGAGAUUCGGGUGCUUAGCUCCCAUAGACUCCUUCGAAAAUCCCUGCCUAAAGAUUCAGAAUCUUGCCCCUGCUCCCCAUUGGCUGGCCACAGGCCUUGCAUUUUUCCCCCCAGAAACUGCAGUGGGAGCAAUUGCAUCGCUAGUGAAAUGACAUUAAUAAAAACACUUAAGUGACUUUUCAAGGAAUUGAAGGCAUUUCCAGAAGAAAUUCUAGUUCUUGCCUGUAUGCCGUAGGCUAACUUCUCUGCUAGUAUACAUCAGCAUUUACUAAAGCAGUGACAGACUGAAAAUACUGAAGGCAACUUGUAUUGUGGAAUCCUUCAAAGACUCUGCCAUCUCUUCUUUCCCAGAGGAGAGAGAGAACUCUGGAUCCUACUGGAGCACCAACUGAGAAUGAUGGGCUGCAUUGGCCUUAUCAUCAAUACAACCCAUCCUGCUCACCUACCGCAAAACACAUCAGUCAAAUAAAAACAACAUGAGUCAA
Long non-coding RNA from Alligator mississippiensis (American alligator), 1098 nucleotides. RefSeq lists it as uncharacterized. NCBI's taxonomy places the organism in Eukaryota, Metazoa, Chordata, Crocodylia, Alligatoridae. The record is from RefSeq and is a predicted model, not a curated record. The transcript is spliced from 4 exons.